CCUACGGGAGGCAGCAGUGAGGAAUAUUGGUCAAUGGACGAAAGCCUGAACCAGCCAAGUCGCGUGAAGGAUGACUGCCCUAUGGAUCGUAAACCUCUUUUAUAUGGGAAUAAAGUGUGGCACGUGUGGGAUUUUGUAUGUACCAUAUGAAUAAGGAUCGGCUAACUCCGUGCCAGCAGCCGCGGUAAUACGGAGGAUCCGAGCGUUAUCCGGAUUUAUUGGGUUUAAAGGGUGGGUAGGUGGACUUUUAAGGCCGUUGUUAAAGUGUGUGGCUCAACCAUAGAAUUGCAGUUGAAACUGGCAGGCUUGAGUACGUUAGAGGUAGGCGGAAUUCGUGGUGUAGCGGUGAAAUGCGUAGAUAUCACGAAGAACCCCGAUUGCGAAGGCAGUUUACUGGGCCGUGACUGACACUGAGGCACGAAAGCGUGGGGAUCAAACAGGAUUAGAUACCCUUGUAGUC
RNAcentral lists this ribosomal RNA (460 nucleotides) under uncultured bacterium. RNAcentral's name for it is "partial 16S ribosomal RNA". It matches the Rfam family "Bacterial small subunit ribosomal RNA", at positions 338 to 795 of the family's 1533-position model. The record is from RNAcentral.